RNAcentral lists this ribosomal RNA (253 nucleotides) under uncultured bacterium. Its description in RNAcentral is "partial 16S ribosomal RNA". It matches the Rfam family "Bacterial small subunit ribosomal RNA", at positions 524 to 776 of the family's 1533-position model. The record is from RNAcentral.
UACAGGGGGCUCGAGCGUUAGUCGGAAUCACUGGGCUUAAAGGGUGCGUAGGCGGUCCGCCAAGUGCUUUGUGAAAUCCCCGAGCUCAACUCGGGAACUGCAGGGCAAACUUGAGGACUUGAAGCAGGUAGGGGCUGGAAGAACAGUAGGUGGAGCGGUGAAAUGCGUAGAUAUCUACUGGAAUGCCGAUGGGGAAGCCGUCCAGCUGGGCCUGUCUUGACGCUGAGGCACGAAAGCGUGGGGAGCAAACAGG